Peromyscus californicus insignis is the source of this 1418-nucleotide long non-coding RNA. RefSeq lists it as uncharacterized. Lineage: Eukaryota; Metazoa; Chordata; Mammalia; Rodentia; Cricetidae. The record is from RefSeq and is a predicted model, not a curated record. The transcript has 3 exons.
AAGACAUUAGGGGAUUAAAAAUGAGAAAAAGAAAAAUGCGAGUGGAGAAGGAAAUGGAAGCCCCAACCAUUGAAUUAAUUUCGAUUGAAAUAAACAGGGAGGUAGGGACAAGGCAGAGGAAGGAGAGAGGUUAGAAGGUGUGUCAGCUGCAGCCAUGGUGCGUUGGUUUGGCUCAGCACCUAGAUUCGGAAAUCAAGAUUUUCUCUUGCUUUCAGGCAAAACCCUGAGGCUUGGAGAGAAGCCCUUUUGUGAGAGUCUGUCUUACCCUUUGUGACAUAAAGUGCCCAGGGCGAAUUGUCAGCCUUCAGAUCUAACAAAAGUGUCCCGGAAAGCUUGACAGAAGUGAACAGUCCUUGGUGAUUUGUGGUCCCUGUUUGUUUCUGCUCAGCAGCUUGCCAAGGCCCUGUGCUGCUCUCUGCCUCCAGGAAAGGAAAGCUGAGGAGCCCAUGUGGCUCUGUAAGAUUGCUUAUUUUUGCUAUUCUGGCUGGAAUUAAUGUCUUUUGAUAUUUUCUUUUAUACGUCUCAAUUAGCAUCACCAACUUCCUGAAGAACCUGCUCAUUUUCACAAACUCAUUUGAACUCCAGAUCAUAGAACACACCCACACCUUGUGACUUCUCCUGCCCUGUGGACUGAGUCUAGACUGCUAUGGAAUAUUAUUUUAAGGUUUCCCCAUCAUGAUCUUGAUGCACUUGCUCAUCUCUCUUGGAUUGGACUCCUGGAGCUCAGCCUGGUGUUUGGCUGUGGAUCUCUGUAUCUGCUUCCAGUAACUCUAUGAUGACAGUUAGGAUAUUCACCAUUCUGAUUACUGGGAUGGAAGCUAAACUGAGGACUAGAAAAUGGCACAAUAUCAUGCUACUCCAGAACAAAGAAAACUCUGAAAAUUACAUAUUUCUAGGCAUAUUUCAAGCAUUUGAGAGACUGAAAAUCAAUUGACUGAUUACUUAAAAGCUAAAAUGACACAUGUCCUGUGUAGCAAUCACCAUGGUUGUAUGAAGACCCAAUUCUUUCAAUUCAGUUUAAUUUUUCUUUUUGAAAAAGUAUGUGCUUUUUAGACAAAUAAAAGACCUAAGAAAAAUAAAUCAAAAGCAAAACUUUUGUUUCAAUUUUACAUGACAUUAUUAAUGACAAAGGAAGAUGAUGGGUGUGGAUCAGACAUCUGGGAGCUGUUCCAGACAUAUGGAUUUAACAGUCAAUAAGCCUUUAAAAUGUUUAUUACAUGUGACUAGUCCAUCUACCCAACUUAUUGGUCUUUCUCUUAAUUAUAUUUUCUGGCAGCUCAUAUGUUCAGAAAAGGAAUUUAAACAGCCUAAGAAAAUGUAAGUCUGUUUUGAUUGAACAUGGAUACUGUUUGGAUAAUGACAUUGAGAGGCAGGGUUCUGGCUUGCAAUGUCUAAUCUUUUCCACAUAAGGGAGUGGA